This 226-nucleotide ribosomal RNA is filed under the name uncultured Staphylococcus sp. RNAcentral's name for it is "partial 16S ribosomal RNA". It matches the Rfam family "Bacterial small subunit ribosomal RNA", at positions 115 to 334 of the family's 1533-position model. The record is from RNAcentral. Lineage: Bacteria; Bacillati; Bacillota; Bacilli; Caryophanales; Staphylococcaceae.
ACGUGGAUAACCUACCUAUAAGACUGGGAGUAACUUCGGGAAACCGGAGCUAAUACCGGAUAAUAUAUUGAACCGCAUGGUUCAAUAGUGAAAGACGGUUUUGCUGUCACUUAUAGAUGGAUCCGCGCCGCAUUAGCUAGUUGGUAAGGUAACGGCUUACCAAGGCAACGAUGCGUAGCCGACCUGAGAGGGUGAUCGGCCACACUGGAACUGAGACACGGUCCAG